CUGGGUGUGGCUCAGCAGUAGAGCGCUUGGUUCGGGACCAAGAAGUCGCAGGUGCAAUCCCUGUCACCCAGA
This 72-nucleotide transfer RNA is filed under the name Deltaproteobacteria bacterium. RNAcentral's name for it is "tRNA-Pro". It matches the Rfam family "tRNA". From Rfam's summary of the family: Transfer RNA (tRNA) molecules are approximately 80 nucleotides in length. Lineage: Bacteria; Pseudomonadati; Myxococcota; Myxococcia. The record is from RNAcentral.